This 21184-nucleotide long non-coding RNA is filed under the name Mytilus galloprovincialis (Mediterranean mussel). The record is from RNAcentral. Lineage: Eukaryota; Metazoa; Mollusca; Bivalvia; Mytilida; Mytilidae.
AAAACUAAUCAAGUUAGUAAACCCAUAGGAUUCACGGCAUGGUGUGUUUUUCUUAUCUCUUACGUUGUAACAUAGUAGAAUCUUUAUAUAAAAGUAUUUAACAACAUAUAGUACUGUAAGUUUAUUGACCUGUGAAAAAUCACCCUUCAAGGUAGAACGUCAUAGUGUAAACAUAUAGGAUAAUUGGAGUGAAGUUUAAACCCAGGUAAAGAUUAAUUUAUAAAAUAUAAUGGUGACGGAAGGGAGUCUUUAAUAACAAUAUGUACACAAAGCUUGGAUAUGCGUUAUUAGUAGUUUCUUUUCUGUUAUGGAAAUUGGAUAUAGGUAUUCUGUGGUCUGGUUUGUGCUUUAUUGGUGCUUGCAUUCUAUUGCUACCUGAAAAGGGAAGAUAUGUUUCAUCCGCAAACAAGAUAGUUAUUAUUACAGGUGAGUUGUCGAUCUAAUAGUUAUUAAAAUGCAUUAAUGAUAGGAUUUUGUUAUUAUUACAAAUUGAAAUAAAAUCAUUAGCAAUUGUAUUAACAUCUUAUAGAAGACGAUUUUGAACGAAGUCAUUCAUACCAAUUGUCACAGUGUAGAUACUAUUCUGUACGCUUUCCGGAAGUCGCGAUUUUCGAAGCGAGAACUUUUUGGAUCACAUUUUAAAUUUGUCGGAUAUACUAUAUUAAACGGUAAGAUGUUCAUCUGUACAUUGCUUAAUGAUUAAUUCAGCUGACAUCGAUACUCACAAAUGGUUUAUAAUUAAAUUUAGCACAUUCAUUAUUCGUAUCUUUGCCUUAAUUAAGAGAUUUUCAAGUGCAUCACUAAGGAAAAUCAGUUGGUGAACCUAAAAACAAUCUUUUUGCACUCUUACUGUACAAAUUAACGUAAAAUCCAGACUUAAUUUACUAGAUAAAGUGUAUUUUAAGUGGUGGUAAAAGUUUCAGCCAGAUCUUUGAAGCCAGAAAUAAGAAAAUUACACUUGUUUGAAUUUCUCACUGUACGAUCAGUCUCGCUUGUAUAUUUUGAAACUGUAUGAUCAGUCGUUAUUUCACUGUAUUCUAGUAGUGAUUUCAAAGUUAUUUACGAUACAUUAGAAGAUGGCAUUUUUCUAAAUAACACAAAUAUAUUUUAAUAAAUUCACAUCCUGUAAACUUUUCAAACAUGUUUUAGCUUGAUAGGGUGUACUCGACUUACUACAUUAAGUAUAAGGAUGUUUGAAUGUGGCUGAAAUAAGAAAAAGGUUUGUUUGUUUAUAGAAGUUUCAGAAAUGUCCUCCGUUUUACUUAAAAUUGUACAAACACACAGAUUUAAUAGUUACUAUAUAAAAAUGCAUGAAUUUACAAACAUUCGAGGCCGUACUGUAGCCUAUAAUUGAUCACAGUUCCUUCACUUUGUUUUGGAUGUAGAUCUGUCUCUCUUUCACACUCAAUUGUACACCACUUUGUGAGGCUAUGGUUUAUAGUGAUAAUGAAGUCCGUCUUUCCGUUCGUCCGUUGGACCGGUACAACAUGUUUCGCCGGUUUUGCAAGCGCAUCUCCACAUACACCACUUAAUAUACAUUGGUGUUUCCAGACAUUUUUAAAUGGAGAGGGGGUCCAAUCCAGGAGAAAAGAGGAUUCCAAAUAUAUGUUCCCAUACAAAUGCAUUGAAAGUUAAAAAAAAGAGUUUCAAACCGCCGGAUCCCAAUUUUCUGAAUCCGUCACUGGUAUAACUAUUAAUUAUUUUUUUCUCGGAUUCCGUAUCAUAAAUAUAAAAAAUAUAAAAAAGAAGAUGCGUUAUGAUUGCCAAUGAGACAACCGUUCACAAGAGAUCAAAAUGACACAGAUAUUAACAAAUGUAGGUCACCGUAUGGCCUUCAACAAUAAGCAAAGCCAAUACCACAGAGUCGGCUAUAAAAAGCCCCGAAAUGACAAUGUAAAACAAUUCAAACGAGAAAAUUAACGGCCUUAUUUAUAUAAAAAAAGGAAUGUAUUUCUGAUUUUAUUAAGAAUAUUUUUAUGGGGUCUCUUUAUAUAUAAGAUACGGACUUGAACAUUGCAUUAUAUGGGGGCACCCAUCAGAUAUUUCCAACCGUGACCUCCAAAACCAAUUGUUAAACUUUUCUAAAAUUGCUCCAUUUGUAAUCUAUUAAUGUAUGUAUGGACCUUCUAUUUCGAAUAUUUUGUAAAAAUACUUUUGAUGUUUCUCUAUCGUAAAUACGGACUUUGUCAUAACCUUAUAUUGGGCGUACCUAUUUUAUAUCCACAACUUCCUUCAGACACUUGUCAUAACUUAAUGAAUCUUUUUUUCUUCAGAUUCCUUAUCCUUUAAUUCAAUUGUGUACCUCUUAUUUUGGUUUUUCGAAAAAUCAUCAGUUUUUUAUUUCCAUGAUAUGGACUUUUCCAUUACCUUAUUGGGUGGUACCCGCUUACUAUACGCAACUUUCAAAAAACUUACCAUAUAUACUAGUAUUAAUAAAACUUUCUCAUAUUCGUUAUUAAAUGAUGCCCCUGUGCACCUAUAAUUUAGUUUUUUUGGUGGUUUAUUUUUUUUCCAAAACAUGGACUAUAGAAGUUGCGGGGUAUAAUUUCGUUAAUCCUUUCCUCAAUACCUAAAGUUUUUUAACAAAGCUUUCUCUAUCUAUUUUUUGUCAUUUUAAAAGAGACAGGCUUGAUGUAUGUAAUCACCAAUUCUAAUGCACCAACGUUUGUAACGUUUAUUUUGAUUGGAUAACGUCACUUUCUUACAUGGCAUCAAUUGAGAAUUGAUGCUAUGGGACGUACGCGCAAGCGCAGACGGCAUAUGACAGAUUUUAAAAACAUGUUUUAACGUUGUUUUCUGUCAGUUUCAUUAGAAUGGAGAUAACAAUAUUGUAUUUUAAGCUCCGACGGCAUCAAUUUGGGAUUUGAUGGUCGCAAAUACCCGUUUACUGUCUCCGCUAACGCGUCGCCAGUAAACUUAAUUUGCGACCAUCAAAUUCCCAAUUGAUGCCGUCGGAGCUUAAAAUACAAUACAGUUAUCUCAUAAUUGAUCAACGGUAGACGGUGUAAAUAGUCUUUAAAAAUGUAAUAGUUAAACAGAUAACUGCAACGACACACUAAUACAGUCCACAAGCGAAUCAUGUAUUGCUUUUUAGGCAUUUGUUUUUAAGUAAGACUGACGGAACAAAAAUUAAUUUGCCGUCUACAAAAAUCAUCAGAAAUAUAUUUGUAUUGUCUGAUGAAAGAAAUUACACGUUAUAGUUCCAUGGACACAAUCAUAAUAUCACAUAGACACGUAUAUACCUUCAAAUUGCCGUUGUUUUUCAGUCAAGGUCGUUAAAAACUUCCAUUUGUUGUUGUUUUUUUUCUUCAAAAUCACGACUGGUCAUACAGACAAAAAAUCUGAAAUCGCUACUAGAAUACAGUCAGUUUUAGACUGAUCGUACAGUAAUUUAUUUUGGGUUCCUCAAGGAAAGCAUAUUUUUUUAUUUGAAAUACGAACAUUCUACUUAAAUACGGUAGGAAUAUUGAAACAGUAUAUAUUUUACUGUAAACUGAUGCAAAUAUUCGCAAUAAAAGAUUAUCUGCUUUGUACUACGAGAGCAAAAUUGUCAAUCGAUUUCACUUUUUUCUAUGAAGUUGGUGUGAUGCACGCGAAUAUUUUAUAUUCUACUGCAUGUUUUUGUUACAGUUACUCAUAUUUAUGAUGUUAUACAUACAUUUAAGAUGUGCAAAGCACUUUAUAGAUAUAGGAGUAAACAAAUGAUGAGAAAAAGCACCAAAACAAAACCGUUCUGUUAGACAGUUUGAAAUCCUCGCUUCGAAAAUCGCGACUUCCGGAUAGCGUACAGAAUAGUAUCUACACUGUGAUUGUCAUUACCUAUACCAACUUUCAGAAUGUUUAGAGUUUAUAAAACCGACUAUUUGCUGCGCACGUCUCAAAAUCGACAUUGCCAAUUUACUUAAAGCAGAAACGAUAUAGAGAUUAUAUUGACUUUCAGUUAUUUUACGAAAAGUGAACAAAUAACCCAUCCGAACACUAGUCUUUGUCAUUCAUUAACUCAGUAUCCAAUCGGCUUUUAAUUUUAUCUAAUAGCUUUCAGAACAGAAAGCGGAAAUUUUGUUGCUUCGAGAAUCGAGUUCCAUUUUCACACCAGCAAUACGCGUGUCAAUUUAAUUAAAACUGCAAAAAAGUUUGAUAUAUAUGUUAAAUUAGUUUUACUGUUAAAAUUUAAUUUGUCUAGACCCCUAUAGACAUAUUAUCAAGAUGGAAGAGUUACCUAUUAAUUGACUUAGAAACCAAAUUAUUCGCCAUGUAAACAUGGUCAAAUAUCUCAUUCUUUUCCUUUUGUAUUGUUAAUUUAUCCUAAACAUGAAACGUAUAAAACUAUGAAGAAAAAUCUUGUAAUCUGAAAUGGAAAAGAUAGGUUAUUUUCUAACAGUAUCUUAUACACAAAACCCGGUUCAACCCACCAUUUUUUCUUUAAAAAUUCCCUGUACCAAGUCAGGAAUAUGGCCAUUAUUAUAUUAUAGUUCGUUUCUGUGUGUGUUACAUUUUAACGUUGUGUUUCCGUUGUGUCGUUUGUUUUCUCUUAUUUUUUAGUGUGAAUUCACAUUACUAUAAGACGUGUCACGGUACUUAUCUAUCCCAAAUUCAUGUAUUUGGUUUUGAUGUUAUAUUUGUUAUUCUCAAAGGAUUUGGUCUAAUGAUUAGUCCGGUUCUGUGUUUUUGUGUGUGUGUUACAUUUUAAUGUUGUGUCGUUGUUCUCUUAUAUUUAAUGCGUUCCCCUCGGUUUUAGUUUUUUACCCCGAUUUUGUUUUUUGUCCAUGGAUUUAUGAGUUUUGAACAGCGGUAUACUACUGUUGCCUUUAUUUAUACUAGUAUUGAUUUGCCAUUGUAAAUUCCUUGCAUGCACGAAUAAAUAAGUUGCAGAAGAAUAUGGUACAGAAAAACAGUUAUCUUCGGGUUCAUCGGAAACCUUUGAACGCGUCGCUCGAUUAAAUAAGUCAACCUCUGCAUCGCGUCGAUCAGUUAGUCAGGAUCCCAGGCUAUAAUUAAUCUUUAUUUCUGUACAUGUAACAAAGUCGGUUAGUUUACACUUUAUCAUAAUUAUAGUCAAAAUGUAUACAGAGCAAAGUUGUUAUCAACAUAAAAUUAUGGUUUAUCAUACAAAAAUAAACAUUAUUCAAAACUCCUUUUAAAAAAAAAUGAAAGUAUAUCUUUGCACCAUUCUUCACACACAGAAUUAUACUAAAAGGUCGAGCUCAUGACAUAAAGCUCAAAAUACUGACAAUGAGCUCUGUCUUUAUGUUGUUAUACAGUUCAAUAGUUGCUUUAAAAUACCUUUAAAACAUUAAUACAUAUGAUGUAUAUCUAACCGAUUUAAACAACACCAAAGUCUGUGACAAUCACUUCCAAAAAUAUAUUUUAAAAAAAAACUAUUUUCAAUUCAACUCUAUAAUGUUUAGUUCAAAAUUUUCAAAAAGAAUACAUUGAAUUUGAAAACUCCUUUGGUAUUUUUUUUAUCUGAUCAUAGAUUAUCAUAUGUUUUUACGUAAUUUAGGCCAAUCUUAAUUAAGUUUUAUAUGCUGUUGGCUAGCCUAAUUUCCCGCUCCAGUAUCUAAUGCAUUCUGGGUAAUAUUUUGAGAAACGGAUGCUAACAAAGUCAUAAACACUGGAAAUUCAAUCAAUGAAGACGUUAUUUUUGUUUUUUGGGUACGAACAAUACAUUUACCCAUGGUUCGUUAAAGAUUCUCAAACGAUCAAAUCUAUCAAAUGUAUUUAUAACAUUUUGGGGCGUAUUUUUAAACGCAGUGUAAUUCAUAACAAAAAAGAACUUAACACUUUUAUAUGACUUUGUGUUGUAUCCAAGUUAUUUUAUUUUUAAACUGUUAUUAGCCAGACGGUUUUAAACGCUGGAAGGAAUAAACACAAUUGUUCGGGUCAGCAGACAUUUGGAGGUAAAUUAGAUUAUGAAAACCAAUUUCAUUUGAGGGAUCAAGGCACAUUUUGGCGAGUUACAUGCACGCAUAGCUGCAAUUAAAAAUUUAUACUGGCUGCGCUGUUUUGUUAAUCGUGCGGUAAAUAUGAUGGUUAAUCAGCCGUUUAAUUUUAUAAUGUAUUUUAAUUAGGUAUAAAUUUUCCACGAAAUUAGUUUAAUCAUCUUUCGCUGUACAAUUAAAAUAUAAUAACUUCCUGCCUUUCUUGUGGCAGACGUCAGAAAUAAAUGACACUGAAAGACCAUUGACAAGUAAAAUCCGUUAAAAUUUGAAAUAUUUGUUUGGCGAUAAUAUCUGACGAUACACAGCUUCUGUUUAUUAAUUCGACAAGGAUGUUUUUCCGCUAUGUUUUAAGAUCUUUUGUGGUAUAACCAAUAAUGUGGUUUACUACUUUGUUAUUAAAGUAUUACAUAAGUUCAUUCAUUAAUUGCGUGAGGUAAACUUAUAGCACGUAAGACCAAUUAACUGCUUGAUGCCCAAUAGACUGUGAGAAAAUGUUAAUCAUAGGAUCGGUUACAGAGAGUAAUCAUAAGUAUAACUAAUUGAACCUUAUAGAUACAAGGAUUAACUGAUAAUUUCUAGCUUAGUGUCAUGACCAAGAUGUAAAUACUUGGUUGUGAUUCUCUAUGUAUGCUAUAGACUUCCUACAAAACAUCUUAGGAUAUAUAAAAAAAGAAGAUGUGGUAUGAUUGCCAAUGAGACAACUAUCCACAAAAGACCAAAUAUUGCACAGACAUUAACAACACUAGGUCACCGUACAGCCUUCAACAAUGAGCAAAGCCCAUACCGCAUAGUCAGCUAUUAAAGGUCCCGAUAAGACAAUGUAAAACAAUUCAAACGAGAAAACUAACGGCCUUAUUUAUGUAAUAAAAAAAAAAAAAAAAAAAAAAAUGAACGAAAAACAAAUAUUAAACACAUAAACAAACGACAACCACUGAAUUACAGGCUCCUGACUUGGAACAGGCACAUACAUAAAUAAUGUGGCGGGGUUAAACAUGUUAGCGGGAUCCCAACCCUCCCUCUAACCUGGGACAGUGGUAUAACAGUACAACAUAAGAACGAACUAUAAAAAUCAGUUGAAAAAGGCUUAACUCAUCAGAUGGACAAAAAUACAAGUGGACGUGGCCCGGUUCUUAUACAUCCCGACACAAAAAGACAUAAUGAACAGAUCUGAGAAAAAUCAUGCAACUAAGACUAAACUAUCAAUCCGUACACAUCCAACAUCCAAUGGAUUUAGUGUAAAGACGUCAUAAAUAGCAAGAGAAAAACAUGACCUUGUGCAAUGCCAAGUUACAGGUAUCGACAGAUUGUAGAUCCAUGAAUAUGUAUAUGCAUAUAACAUACUAGUAAUAUUUAGUUAGCUUUUAAUUUACUGAUAACAAAAUCAAUAUUUAUACAAAAAAAAAAAAAACAAUAUUCAAUGAUCUUAAUACAGUGUUGAAUAGGUAACCUUUUAGAAUAAGUUUAUUUAAAGGAGCGACAAGUUUACAUGGAUCAUUUCUAAAUUUCCGGGCACGGUUAACAACAUUUCCGUAAAAUUGAGGAUGUGCUAUCCCGUUUGAAAUAAGUUUUCUACAGGUACAACCAAACUUCUAAACCAAAUCUUUAUAUCUAUGGAAAAAAUUCGUAAAGGUUUUAAGUAAUUUAUGGUAACGAUAUUCCUGGUUUUAUAAUUUACCAGUAAUACAUAGGUUGCGUUCGUUAAAAUCAAAAACGUCACAACACACACGGGCAUAGCGAACAAGUUGUGGAAUAUAAACACCGUAAGAUGGUGCCAAAGGAACACCACCAUCUAAAAAUGGAAAAUUAACAAUAGGGAAUGAAAAAUCGUCUCUUUUUUUUUUGUAAAUUUUAGUGUCGAGUUUCCCGUUUAAAACCGAAAUAUCUAAAUCCAGGAAAGGACAGUUAUUAGGAAUCCAUAUAGGUGACAAGCUACAGACAAUUUCAAAACACUUUAACAUUAUACCUUCUUUUCUUAUGACAGUCAUUGCCUCAAUGUUCUCGUGCUGGCGUGUUCGCCUCGAGUGAAAGAGGUCGUGGAUUCGAACGCAGUGCGUCUAAUCAAAGACUUUAAAAUUUGUAUUUGCUGCUUUUUCGUUAAGAACGCGGUAUAUAAAAGUAGUAAUUGCAAAAAAUUUGCGACUCAGCAAGGUUGAUAUGCAUUUUACAUUAACAUGUUCUCGUCCUGAAUAUGCCUAUUAAUUUGCCACUGGACGUUGCCACAGCGAUCCAUCAUCAUCAUCUAAUGGCAGUCGUAAUUGUCAGUCGACCAUUGCUUUACAGAUCAUAUACAGACUUCAUUCAUUGUUUGCUUUUCUCUCGUCUGAAUUGUGUAUGUAGUACAUUUAUUUGCAUAGCAAUCGGAAACAAUCAAUCAUAACUGUUUAUGAAGCUCGUUAAUUGAGUAGAAUUUUUGUUUUGUGCAAUGACCUUCAAUUUCAUAAUUGAAUUGGUUUUAGAACUGUUUUUUUUUCGAACACGACUGAUGAGUCCUAUGAAGCAUUGUACGUACUUAGUAAUAAUUUUGUACUGGGUUGCAGACACCGUCAAUCAAUGUCAAAGGACGUCUACAUUUUAAAAACACGUAAAAACAAUUCUGGUUGGGUAGCUGCCUCACUAUAAGGUCACAUACGGUAAGGAACCAAGCAAACAUGGUGUUGAUCAAUAUCUUAAUACCACAUGUAUUGUUUUCGUCAUGCCAUGGAAUGAACGGCCUUAUUCAGACCGGACGUGGUAGCAUUGAAUGACCCAUAAACGACCAUGAACAAAAAUUCAAAGUAAGAUUAUUUCUGGAAAAAAAACCGGUAUAAACAGUAAAACUUCAUCGUCCUAAACCCGGUAUAAACCACAGGCACUUGUUUUUGUCAAUGUGGGGUUUACUAUCCAUACCAGUACAAAAAAAAAAACACAAGGUAGCUAACGGAAAUUUUCAAUGUGUUCGCUUCAACCAAUAUUUUUUUAAUUUCCCUUGAUUUUUUCACAAAUAAAAGUACACCAGUCUGUCGGUAAUUGAUUUGUCUUUACAAUGAAACAACUUUCACGUACCUUGAGAAUACCCCUCAAACAGAAUAACACACUUCAGAUGAGAAUUAUUGACCUUUUUCCAGACCAUUGAAUUUGUAAGGACUUAACUUCCGGUAAACUUAGGAAGUUAAUAUAACUGUGCAAUCCCAUUGUGUGAGUUCGUGGUCUAGUGGUUAAGACCGAUGGCUACAGUGCUGAAGGUCCCGAGUUCGAUUCUCACUCGGGGUGCUAAAAAUAUCAGUACAUCAGAAGGGUAAUUUUCACCCUCUCACACACAUCUCUGGUACCCACACCGGAGUUUAAACUAGAAUGGGUACUUUGGGGGCCUCGGUUGGUCAAAGUUGUCCCCUACUUUGACCAGGAGAUCAAUCUUCUGAUAUCUCUCUGGUUUGUCUGUUUCCACCGAGUGACCCGGUGGUUCUCUCCGAGUACUUCGGCUUCCUCCACCAUAAUAACAGACUUCCCGGUGUCCUACACGCUCCCUUGGGCGGUGUUGGGUGGGGAUUGUUCUGGUGGUGGGAUAAUAUUGUAAAGGACACAUCUCCAUUAAUCUUUAGGGAGUGUACAUGGAUCCGCUGUACCCUUGCAGUCAAUCAAGGGGUGCGUCUACAUUGGCGGAAUCUCGAGUACAUACAUACAUUGGUUUAAUUCAUCUGGUUACCUGUUUAUUUAUACUAGUUACCAGUAACCAGAAAAAUGUGACCAAUGGGAUUACACAGUUAUAUUAACUUCCUAAGUUAACCGGAAGUUAAGUCCUUACAAAUUCAAUGGUCUGGAAAAAGGUCAAUAAUUCUCAUCUGAAGUGUGUUAUUCUGUUUGAGGGGUAUUCUCAAGGUACGUGAAAGUUGUUUCAUUGUAAAGAUAAAUCAAUAUUACCGACAGACUGGUGUACUUUUAUUUGUGAAAAAAUCAAGGGAAAUUAAAAAAUAUUGGUUGAAGCGAACACAUUGAAAAUUUCCGUUAGCUACCUUGUGUUUUUUUUGUACUGGUAUGGAUAGUAAACCCCACAUUGACAGAAACAAGUGCCUGUGGUAUAAACAGUAAAACUUCAUCGUCCUAAACCCGGUAUAAACAGUAAAACUUCAUCGUCCUAAACCCGGUAUAAACAGUAAAACUUCAUCGUCCUAGUUAAGUAGAAAUUGUCCGAACGAACCCGGUAUAAACAGUAAAACUUCAUCGUCCUAGUUUAAGUAGAAAUUGUCCGAACGGAAAUAAAAGAUUUGUUUUCAUUCAAAUAUUUGAAAAGUAUAUCCACUUAACAUUCUAUAUUCAGAAGAUGACACGUUUCACCUUAAAACUUCAACUAAUUGACUGAAAUUUAACCGACUUCCUGAAAUUUAAACUAGAAGACGAUCAUUUUAAAUAACUAUUUACAAGUGCUAUCAUUUAUCAGUAAAAUUUACAGGUUUUGGCAAAAAAAGUCAUAUUAUAGAUAUGAUCUAAUGAGAAAGUAAUCUUCCAUGCUGUGAACAUAGAUCUAAUAUCAGAUUAAAUAUUAUUAAAAACUGUUAAGAUUUCUUUUCUGAACAGUUGAUCAAAACACGUUGAUAGAAAUCAAAACUACCUCUCAAAACUUUCUUUUGAGAAUCAAAAUUAUAUCACUGGAGACAUCAGUCAAACGAUUGUUCAUUUCUGCUAUGGAAAUUGAAUACAUGUAGGUUCCUCAUCUAUCCUUUGACGACCACACGACUUUAGAUAUAGACGACCGAACAGUGGCGGAUCCAGAACUUUUUAUAAAGGGGGCACUGGCUGUCCUAAAGGGGUGCCUCUCCAGUCAUGCUUAAUUGAUUACCCCAGGCCCCCUUGAUCCGGCUAUGGAACCGAAGUAUUCAUUAUUAACAUUCAGUGAGAAAUGCAUAUUGCACAAUGGUUAAAGUAAUAUGUGCUUUUAUUCUUCACAUAUAGCCACGUAUUUUUUUCACUAGCAAACAGAGCUGUGUUGAACCAUUGUUGGCAUUCGGCUGUUUUCUGCUCUUUGGUCUGGUUGAUGUCUCCAACACUUUCCCCAUUUCUAUUCCUAAUUUUAUGUACUUGCAUUUUAUCAUUUAUCAAUUAACUGUUGAAAUUUAACUCUCAGUGUCAAAUAUUUCAUUCAAAGAAUUUGCAAUAAAAUUAAAUAAUAACAUAUGCGAGAAUUUGCAAUGUGUGUCGUUUCGGGUAAAACGGAUAAAGAAAUGGGUAACAUAUACUAGAUAACAGGAUUUUACUUCAAUGUGAAUGCUACUGUCACUAUAUACUGAAACAUGAAAGACUUGUUAGAUUUCCAUUGUAAGGAACUGUUUUCUUUGAUAUUCGGGACAGGGGUCGAAGAAAGCUAGACAUUUAUUUUCAUGUUUGAGACGUGUUUGUUUAAAAAAAAAACCUUGACAUAGAUUGUGUCAUAUCUACUAUCCGAGAUCUCAACCGUGAGAGAAUUUAUAUAUUCGAUGUAGAUAGAAGUAAUAAGUUCUCAUUUUAAUGUUUGUUUCAGAUUAUGCAGUUAUCAAAUUCUUAAAACAGAAACAAACCAGAUGUAUUAAUGCUUUUACCAACUAUCUAGAAAUGCAAUUUUCAAUGUUUACAUUUUCCCUAUCACAACUCAUAUCAUAUCACUUUUUACUAGAUUUUUGCCUUUGUUAAGUUAAUAUGUAAAAGUUUGUGAUUAUGACACUUUAUGGGGUAAGAGUAUUGGUAUUUUUCGUGGAGAUUAUUUGGCCCUGUAUCUUCAGUCAUGGUACUUUGACUGAAUAUAUAGCACGACUUGCAUGUUAAAGUAUUGCAACUUUAAUAUUAUCAUGUUUCCAUCAAUAACAAAAUUCGACACAUAACAAUGUGUCAACAGUUUAUUUUCAUACUAUAAAAUUGAGAACGGAAAUGGGAUAUAUGUCAAAGAGACAACAAUCCGACGAAAGAACAGACAACAACCAAAAGCCACCAAUGAGUCUUUAAUAUAAAUAAACUGAUUAAUGCUUUAACGUUUUCAGGUUGUGAUAGUGGAUUUGGAAAUAAACUUGCCAGACGUCUAGAUGCCAAAGGUUUCAUUGUAUUUGCUGGAUGUCUGGCCCCAGACAGAGAAGGUGCCCGUGAACUGAAAGAGUCCUGCUCUGACAGAUUAAACAUCGUGCAUCUAGAUGUGACAGAUGAUUGGAAAGUUAGAGGAAUGAUAGCAGAAGUCAAAAAGAAGAUGAACGGCAAUGGUAAAACAUGAAAAGGAUAACAAAAAUUACCAAGAAUAUUUGCCAGUUUUACAGACCACACCAACCACCGAUCCCUACACCCCCUCCAUAGAGACCACACCAACCACCGAUCCCUACACCCCCUCCAUACAGACCACACCAACAUCCGAUCCCUACACCCCCUCCAAAAAUAACGUAAACAAAACCCCAACACAUAGCCAAGAAGCCUGACUUGAUACAGGCAAAAUGUUGAGGGGGGAAACAUUUUCUUUGCACACAAUUCCAAAUCUUUGCUUAUAUAGAAUUUAUAUCGUAAAACUUAAACAAACAUUAAAAAACCUGCACAGGAAAGCUACCAAUUCGAUGACUACUAAUUUGAACAAGGAAAUGAGGCAAUCUGUUUUAAGAUCAUGUUUUGAGUUGGCCAAGUUAACACACAAAAUUGAACAGAUUAAUUCCAAAAUGUUUUUUUUCCAGUCUUUACCAAAAAAUGACAGGUUCGGAUAACUCUAGAAGUAACAGCGUAUUUCUACUGCUGUCAUUUACUAACAGUAGACGUAUAUAAACUAUAAAGGAAAUAGUAGUAUACCGUUGUUCUUAGUCUUAACUGAAACAAAUCUUCGUUACAAACCAAAACUGAGUGUAACACAUCAACUACACGCGGAAACCAAAGGAACAGCAGUAACGCUGAACUGCUUUAAAUAUAAACGCCAACAUACAUAGAAACGUUCUAUUUGAUAACAAGUGCCUGUUAUUUCGAUAAAUUUUGCAGCGAUAAGAAAAAAGAUAUUUAUUUUUAUCAUACACUAAUUGUUAAAAAUAAUACGACACCGAUAAAUGUAGUUACAAUUUCCCCCCAAAAAAUUAUAGUUUCUCACUGUUAAUAUGAAUCACAAUCGAUAACUUGAAUGCCGAUAGGUAUCAUAAUCGCGUAUAGUCAUGUCGAUAUAAAUCUUAAUCGAUAGAAUCUUAAUCGACAAUAUGCUUGUCGAUGUGAAUUUAAAUCGAUAAUAUACAUGUUAAUAGAAAUCACAAUAGAUGGUUAGAAUGUUAAAAGUAAUCACAAUUAAUAACAAGUAUCUCGGUAGAAAUCACAAUCGAUAAUAAGCAAUCCGAUAGGUAUCAUAAUUGAUGAUAAGAAUGUCGAUAGGAUUCACAAUCGUGAAAAAGAAUUUCGAUAUAUCUCUGUUGUUUCUUUACUCGAAAACAAUGAAGUUGACAUUAUUUAUGCUUACACACGUUUUAUUUAUAGACCCUUUUAUUUAAGUAUUAAUGCAGCUCUCUUGUAUUUUUGCAGUUCUAUGGGCAGUAGUAAAUAACGCUGGCAUUGCAGUUUUUCAAGAAAUAGAAUGGUGUGCUGUAGAACAGUUUCAACAACUACUUGAUGUUAACGUUUUGGGCGUGGUUAGAGUAACUAAAGCAACUUUGCCUUUACUGAGACAGGGAGGGGGAAGAGUAAUUAACGUGGCUAGUUUAGCAGGUAAGAUAUAAUGCAUACAAGAAAAUUAUUAAAUUGUAAGCAAGGACACAUGUUUUUUUUACGAUAAAUUAAUAUCAGUCAAGAAAUUAAGUAUUAGUGUUUUAGCUGUGGGAAAUAUAAUUUAUUUUCAAAGAACCUUUUUUUGUUUGCAUGUAUAUGACUUUUUAACCGUUUAUGUUUCGAAAAUUUGUCCCCUGAGGUCCUCAAGAAAAACGAUUUUAACAUAUAUAUAUAAAAAAAAAAGUUUUUAAAAUUUCAUUUAAUACCAUUCGGUUGAUUGACACCACAUCCAGUUUUCUCCUCUUCAACACUAUUAGAUUGACCCCAAAGAAUGUGCUCUGAUAUAGUUUUGUCUGCCCUGUAUCACUGCUUCUCUGAUUACUAUUUAAAAAAACUCAUUUGACACUCUACACAUUUAAACUAAGGUUUUACAUUUUUUGGUCACUUUUGAAGGUGAAAUAAACGCUUACUCUCCUCGAUUGUAUUGAAUGAAACGACCAAUACCAGCGAACCCUUAUUGUUUUUGAAAGUUGUUAAAUUUCCAUCGUUUUUAAAAGCCGAAAAGCCUUGAAGUAUAACGAAGAAUCGUUUUUUUUUAUAUUAAUUAUUUAGCCAAAACAUAAUAAGAUAAAAAUGCCGAAUCAUUUCAAGCAUUGGUAUAUCAAUAAACACAGAAUUCGCUGGUCAAUAAUAAUAAAAAAAAAUAAAACAAUAUAUGUUUUGGGCGACUGUACUUACCUUUGUCGAUUUAGUUAGACGUGACCUUGAAUACGUUACUAGGCCUAAGGGUCAAUCGAGUGCGAUAAAUGAGCUUGUCUUCCUAUCAUAAUUCAUUUAUACCACAGAUGAAUAUCAAGAACACAUUCAUAAUUUGUACUUAUUUGAUGUUAAAGAAGAUUGAACGGUUACCACUGCAUAUAUUUAAACUACACUCUAAUUCGUGACAUAUCAAGGAUUUAUAGAAAUAUUUAUUGUACUUUAUAUGUUAUAAAUUGAAAAUUGUCAUUAGAUAAAUAUAUUUCGCUUAAAUCAUUACACCAGCUGUCAAAUUUUACAGUAUUUAAUAAAUGAUUAUAAACAUAUUCGGUCUAAAGGUUUGUUUAACGUGUUAUUAGUUUUAACCUUUAACCUUUAGUCACUGACAUGCUCAGUAAACUUAAUAAUACUGUGGAUCCAUUUAUUGUUUUGAGUACCAAUUUUCGUGGAUUAAGGAACACCUGCAUGUUCGUGGAUAUUUACUUUCGUGGUUUUGUCGAGGUCAGCAUACAAGCCUUUAGAAAAUUUGUUAUUCGUUGAACAUAUAAUUUCGUGGUUUACCUGUAUCCACGAAAUCAACGAAAAUUGGUAUCCAACAAAUAAUAAUGAAUCUACAGUACAAUGUGUGUGCAGAUUUAACAUCGUUUUUCCUGAUUUUUUAAAAAUAGUUUUAAGUGUUAAUCCAUGAACAUCCCAGUCACCGAGAUGCACAGUAAAUUAAAUGCAUUAUUUGUACAUGUUUAGUCAAACAUGUAGAAGUUAUCAGAAUUAAACUAGUUAACGAAAAACAAACAGACAUUAGUCUGCUCAUGAAGGUGUCAUCGUUUUGUAGACAUUUUUGAAAAAUGAAAAAAAUCUUUAUGGUUUGGUUUUUGAGAUUUUAUGAAUGUAGAUAAAUUUGAGAAAGUUUUUCACAAUUUGAGGUGUUUUUUUUUCUAUAAUUGUAAAUCCAAUUUGAAAUAAUUCAUCAAAUAAUAUUUGCAGAAAUGUAUUUUUACAAAAUCAUUAUUGUUUUCGAUUUUCGGCUAAAGUUUAACAUGCCGUAGUAUAUAUGCAAUAAUAUAUAGACAAUCUGUGACAUGACCCAAAUUACUGUAACUUGACCUUAACCAGUACACUAAGUAUCGCUUCAAAAUCGAUAGGCAUACAAAACAUAGCAGGAUAUUAGUUCUACUGAUAGUAAAAUCACAAACAUAUUGUGACAUGAGUGUUCAUAUCAUGACCACGCAUUUUUGUUGAAUGUGAAAGAUGUAUAGUGCAGUAGCACCCGAAUUAGAAGAAAUAACAAGGCAUGACACAAGUCAAUUAACAGCGACAAAAAACAACAGCUGCAAUUGCAAACAAAUGGAUUUAGAACCGAAUGAGUUGAUUUGUUUCUUAAAUAUUGAUAAUGUCAACAAACUAAUGUAAACAUACGUUAUAUCUAGGAAAACUUUUUAAAAUAAGUCAUGGCCUUAUCUAAAAAAGAAAAAAAAAAAAAAUACCCAACGUAACUAAGAUCGUGCUUAAAAAUAGAUUUUAUUUAAAUACAUGGCCCUAAAGACAAUAUCAUUAGUAGUUAAUGCUAUAUGUAGCAAGGUUUAAGAUUUAGACCAUUUAGAAGGUUUGUGACACCUCCCAUUUGUUUUAUAUUGCUACAGGGAUUUCGCUUAAUUGUUUUUUCUCUCUAAAAGUUAACUUGUCUACAUACAUUCAAAAUAAAAAGGUCGUAAGUGAAAGUCGCGUGGUAAUUUUAUUGCAAUGUUUUAAUAAAUUUUACACGACACAAACACAACCCCAACGUAAGAAAAUAUCACUGUACAUACCCGAAAAUAAAUUCUAAAUGAAAUAAACAGCAAUUUCGGUAGCUGUAUAAAUACUAAAGUACAUGCUAUUUAAAUACAAUUCGCAGUUAAGAGGAUUAAAAAAAUAUAUAUCUAUAGUUAACAACUCAUUGAUAUAGAAACCAUUUUUUUUUUCAAUUUUCAAACAAAUAAUGAUUUAAAAAACACGUAUCAUCCCUUAAGUUCAAAUUUAUCUGUGAUUUUCAAAGACUUUAUGUUAUAAACUUGUUGGGCGUCCGUUGGUUUGAUAAGGAGGUACAAGUACACAGCCACGUCCAGUCAGAAUGGGGACAUUAAAUCCGAUACCUCGUGUUAAGAGAGUUCCAGGACGACCUAUAUCUAUUGUAUGCAUUGUAGAUUUGCCCUCAUCAUAAACAUACAUGAAAUAUUUGUCACUGGACGUUUAGCAACCAACCAACAAUCAAUCAUAAAAAACAAUCGAUAAAAUAGACAUAACCAAACCCCAAUUUUGGCCUCACGUCUUCAGGAAUUCAUACCGCAAAACAAAGUGUUAUAAUAUAAAAAUGAAAUUCCUAUCCAAUGAUGUCAGUAUAUAUAUAAAAAAGAAGAUGUGGUAUGAUUGCCAAUGAAACAAAUCUUCAUAAGAGACCAAAAUGACACAGAAAUUAACAUCUAUUGGCCACCUUAUGGUCUUAAUCAAUGAGCAAAGCCUUUACCGUAUAGGUACGGUACAAAAUGUUUAAAAGGAGUUGAAUUAUCCAAAAACUUCGUCCAUAGGGACAAAGGGGUUAUAUAGAUUCUCCAAACGCUUCUUCCAUCAAGAAACAAACUUUAUAUUGCAGGCCGAUUCACUGUCCCUGCGUUUGCUGCAUAUUCUAUGUCUAAAAAGGCUUGUAUCGCAUUCUCUGAUGGUCUGAGACAGGAAAUGGCAAAGUUUGGAGUACGGGUCAUUACUGUAGAACCCGGAUUAUACAAGUGAGUCAUUGGUUUUAAAAUUUUACAUGGUAAAGAUGAAAUUUUCAAUUGCCGCAUUCAAAUUCGCACCAUUGGUUUUUAUUUAUAUUGAAUUUCCCACAAUUUGUCCAAGUUUAUCAUAUGGUAUGCAGGUCUUUGUUCGUUAUUAAAUACUAUAUAUGUCUUCUUUUCUGAAAUAUUUAUAAAACAAUGAAUAUGGAUAUUAACCCACGACACAAAAUCAGUACAAUUUCAUGCACAACAAAAAAAAAAAAAAAAAAAUAAAACGCAAAAAGCAAAGGAAUAUUUCAUUUGUGUUGUGGUGUCGCUGUCUCAGUAAUGUUUACAUUGCAUCUACUUUUAUUAAGUGGAAAUGACAAGUAUAAUUAUUUAAAACCACAACUUAUUGAACCAUAAAACUUCAGUGUAAUCCUAUUUAAAAAAUACGGCAAUACAAUGAAGAAAGAUAUUAAAUCAUUUUUUAUGACCAAACUGGAACAACAAAUCAAACAAGAGAAUAUCAGCAAUGAAACAAACAAACAAAAACAGUGACGUUGUAAUGUGUACCUAUACAAUCUGACUUUUCAGAACAGUGGCGGAUCCGGGGGGGGGGGGGGGUUCCGGGGGUGCGCACCCCCCUUUAUUUUUGCCGAUCAAUGCAUUUGUAUCGGGACAUAUGUUUUUGCACCCCCCCCCCUUUGCCCUGGGUGCCCUGGGUUUGCACCCCCCCCCCUUUCGAAAAUUCCUGCAUCCGCCCCUGCAGAAUCUAAAGGACUAUGGAUAAUAUCAUUCUUCGUACACCAAAAUUAAAAUAACGUUAAAUUACUUGUCGAAUUUCUGUUGUUUAGAACAUUUUAAACCAAUCACAACGUUUUGGUGUACCCUUUUGGAAAUAUUACUUAGAAUGCAUUAGAUUCUGAAACGGUUAAUAAAAAAAAAUGUGUCAUGUGAAUUCUCAUAAUUGUUAAUACUUAUAACCUUAUUUUAGAACUCCGAUAGCAUCAGAAGAAUAUCUUAUCACGCAAAAUAGGAAAUCAUGGGCAGAAACACCAUCCGAGAUAAAAGAUGUGUAUGGGGAAGAAUAUUUUGAAUCGUUUUUAGAUACAAUAUCAAAGCAGAUGAAGCGUGCUAGGAGUAACGUUGAGGAGGUUAUCGACCAGAUGGUAGAAGCCGUGACUAGAGAGGAUCCGAAGUGUAGAUAUGUACCUCACUGGCUUACAUACAUUCGAGCGACGAUACUGAUGUAUUUACCGCAGAGCGUCACUGAUGCUUUCUUUAGAAAGACUUACAAAGUUGUUGGACCUGUUCACGGAAAGACACAAUGAUUUGAAACAAUUGCUAUCUAGUGUAUAUUCAGUAUUGGUGAAUGUAAACGUAUGUAGUUGAGAUACGGAAUAGAAAUGCUAAAAGUGGCAUCUUCAACGGAUUCGGAAGUCGUUUUGCUUUCUCACGCUAUAGUGAAUUCUUUAAGAUAACUGAUUAGGUAACUAGUGUGUAGUCGUAACCUGUAUCACGGUUACAGUACACACACGAUGGUUCAGUAAAAAUGACUCUUAAUGGCCAAUGAUUUUUCACUUUUGUUGUUAUUUAGUAAAUUUUUAUUUAAUUUAUCUUUUAUUUAUAGUCUAUUUACCAAGGUUUUUACUGUGCUUUUAGUCUUGAAAACGGCAAGCCAUCUUUCAAAAUGUUUUGUUCUUGUUUCGGGUCAAGACUAUUGAAAGUGAUUAUCUUUGUCCUUUCAUAGUCUUUUAUUUUGUCUGUUAAACAUUUGACUUACUUGUAUAUUUUACUGAUAAGUUUCCGUCUAUGACCAGUUUAUUUAUAGUUUACUUGUCUUGUCUCAGGGAGAUUUUAGACUUGUCACAUGAUGUUGGCGAUUGACCAUUGUGGAAGAGAUCGUAUGUUGAUCUAUGUUUUUUUACUACAUUUAUUUUUUAUUUUUCUUAAUGUAUUCUGUUUUUUUUUUCUCACUUUUAUAAACAUUUGUAAAUGUCCAUUACACAACGUUUUGCAUAAUUCGGUGUUCACUGACAAGUUUGAAAAAAGAAACUAUUUUCAAAUUUUAUAGCUUGCUGUUCGUGGAGAACCAAAGCUCCGUGUGGAAGGUCUUACUUUGAUCUAUAAUGCUUUACUUUUUACUGAUUGUAACUUGAAUGGAGAGUUGUCUCAUUGGCACUACUCAUACUACGUAUUCUUAUACCAAUUUAAACAUGCAGCGCUUAGAAAUACCUUAAAUUUGAUCGUAUUCCUUGUCAUUCUGAAAAGUCUUGACUAGUAUAUUCAGCGACAAUAAAGUUCCAAAAAAACACGGUGCAUGGUGAACAAAAAACGUGUGUAUUUAAAACAAUGUCUUUAUCUCUCUAUAAAAAAGUAAAAUCACAAUAAUACUGAACUUAGGGGAAAAUCAAUUUGGAAAGUCCAUAAUCACAUGGCAAAAUCAAUAACAAAACACAUCAAAAACGAAUGGGCAAGAACUGUCAUAUUGCUGUUUUUUUACAGGCAUUUUCAAAUGUAGUAAAUGGUGGAUUAAACCUGGUUUUAUAGCGCUAUUCCUCUCACUUUGACGACAAUCUCAUCAAAUUCCGUUAUAUUUACAAUGAUGCGUGAACCAAACAGACAUAAUAAAUAAAAUAGUCAAAAUAUAGGUACAGCAGUCAUCAUCGUGUAACAAUUUUAAAAGGAACAAUUUAACAGAACACAAAACCAUCUAUCUACAAACACAUUCAUUGAUUCGCGUGUCUGACGUCAGAAAAUCCCACAGAAGCUCUUGCCAAUGUUAAGUUUCAAUAGUGGUUGUUGUUGGCAUAUAAUACUGGUAAAAAACAAUGAUACAACAGAGAACAAUAUCCCGCAAAACUAUAAUUUUAACAUAAAUGUGUUGUGUUUUAUGAAAUUAACUAGUCCACUCUCCUUAGUGUUAUAGACUUUUUGACAAAUGGAGCAACAUAAAAUUAUGACAAGUUCAUGCGUAGAUGAAAAAAAAUGUCGAUAUUUUCUUAAUUAUAUAGGUUUACGUAUGUUUAUAAAUAUUAUUUAAAUUCUAAACUUAGAUUUUUAUUUUUAAAGCCGUGUAAAAUAUUUUCAGCAUUAACCCGGUGUACACAGUCUUGUUUUGACUUUUAAUUAUGAAUAAAGAAUAAGAAUUAAAAAAAAAGUGUUUAAAGUUUUAUUUCAUGACAAUUACAGUUGAGGUGAACUAUUUUUUUGGAGAUAGAUAUACAUUGUUAUUAAUUGUCAAUAUAUAUAGACCCAUUUCACUUUCAUUGUUUAAAGAUUUAAAUAGACCCUUGUCACGGCUUUUCAAAGCAUUAAGAUAAGUAUUUUAACAAAGGAAAAUUUCAAUCCAGUAAGGAUUACAAUAAUAUGUCGUUUAUAAAUUCUUGUUGCUUUUAUUCAUAUUUUAUGAAAUUAUGACAGUAUUUUUUUUUUUUUUUUUAAAUAUUCAAAUGUAUUUUGGUGUUUUGCUUAAUAUUCGAGGUUGCUAUAAAUAUAUACGAUCGACAAAGAGAUACAUUCACAUUUAUUCGUCUUUUGCCAUUUCAACAAUAAUUUUAACCACUUUCUAUUUCUCUUAAUAUCUCGUAAUAUUCGUUCCCCUGUUUUAACUUUAUUGUAGUUUCCCAAUUAUUUCCAUCUCACGCUUAUAGUUUAGUGUUUUCUUUCCCAGCACACUUUUACUUUCUAUACCUUUUUUGUGACAGGUGAUCUUACGUAUAUUUUUUGUUAUAUAAUAAUUCAAAUUUGUAUAACAAAUUGAUUUUCUAUACAAUGGCUUGAAUAUUUAAUUACAUAUAAUUGUAUUUUGUUAUAGAACUCAAUCUAGUUUUACAUAUUAUAUUAUACAUUGUAGUAUUUAUUAUGUAAGAAACAUUAUACCAUAGGGCACUGGAAACCAGAUAAUGCAUUUUGAAUACAAUAAAUACGUGUAUAACUUUGUUUCUAAGUUAUAUAACAACUCUAUAACUUUUUUGUUAUUUAUAUAAUAUCAAUUUUCAAGUCUGUUUACUAUACUGUCGAAGUUAAAGUUUCCAAUGACGUGUGAUCUUUACAUCGUACACGUACUGACGUGUGAUCUUCACAUCGUACACGUGC